This 566-nucleotide long non-coding RNA is filed under the name Mus musculus (house mouse). RNAcentral's name for it is "predicted gene, 26839". The record is from RNAcentral. Lineage: Eukaryota; Metazoa; Chordata; Mammalia; Rodentia; Muridae.
AAGCAGAGCUCAGUGCCAAAGCCUGGGUGUGCAAAGAAAGGCGCUGGCUCCAGCCGAAUUCCCAGAAGGCAGAUGCUAGAAUCUGCAGCCCCGGCGGAAAGCACAAGCGUGGCCGGGAGGGUUGCUCCGUGCACCUGUGGUAUAGAGUGCGCUCACAGAAGCAGAGCCCCAGUCUACAGCAUGGCCACGUUUUAGUCUCUGUUGAGAAAUGUUGCUAGCAGGACCUGGACUGUUCGGAUUUCUCUGCUGAGGCUCCCAGCUCCAGGCUAAGUGAGUGCCUCAGUCAUCCAGAUAUUGGCUAGAUGUGUUAUAUACCAAGAACUGCACCCAGGGUGGAGAUGGAAAAGACACCAGGUAUCCUUGUGCUGUGUGGGUCAUCCCCCCAACCACGACGUUGGAAGACAGAUAGCCCAGGCUAGCUCCCAAUACACCAUGUAGCCAAAGAUGACCUUGAACUUCUGAUUUUCCAUCCACCGUCUUCUGACUACUGGGAUUACAGUCAUUCUAGAAUCAGACAUGCAGCCUUACGCCUGGCUUUACGUGGCGUUGGACCCUGGGAGUUCAUG